CUCCAGCCUUCACCGCUCCCCGUAUUGGCUUCGCCUCUGGCCGGUUCCGUGUGUCCGCCGACUUCUCGGAGUGCAGCUAGUCGCUGAACAUGGGCCUUAUGACUGACCACAGCAGAGCGCAGAUCUCGGGCGUAACAGGGAGCGGCAACAUCAAGGCAUCUUGGUUCCAGUUCGAACGCUGCUGUUUUGUCCUGUUUUGUGUCUGUGGUGUUUGUUUCAUUUCGUUGUUGAACCGGC
Long non-coding RNA from Sardina pilchardus (European sardine), 237 nucleotides. RefSeq lists it as uncharacterized. The record is from RefSeq and is a predicted model, not a curated record. The transcript has 3 exons. NCBI's taxonomy places the organism in Eukaryota, Metazoa, Chordata, Actinopteri, Clupeiformes, Clupeidae.